GACGAACGCUGGCGGCGUGCUUAACACAUGCAAGUCGAACGCUGAAGCCUGGUGCUUGCACUGGGUGGAUGAGUGGCGAACGGGUGAGUAAUACGUGAGUAACCUGCCCUUGACUCUGGGAUAAGCCUGGGAAACUGGGUCUAAUACUGGAUACGACAUGUCACCGCAUGGUGGUGUGUGGAAAGGGUUUUACUGGUUUUGGAUGGGCUCACGGCCUAUCAGCUUGUUGGUGGGGUAAUGGCUCACCAAGGCGACGACGGGUAGCCGGCCUGAGAGGGUGACCGGCCACACUGGGACUGAGACACGGCCCAGACUCCUACGGGAGGCAGCAGUGGGGAAUAUUGCACAAUGGGCGGAAGCCUGAUGCAGCGACGCCGCGUGAGGGAUGACGGCCUUCGGGUUGUAAACCUCUUUCAGCACGGAAGAAGCGAAAGUGACGGUACGUGCAGAAGAAGCGCCGGCUAACUACGUG
RNAcentral lists this ribosomal RNA (472 nucleotides) under uncultured bacterium. RNAcentral's name for it is "partial 16S ribosomal RNA". It matches the Rfam family "Bacterial small subunit ribosomal RNA", at positions 28 to 507 of the family's 1533-position model. The record is from RNAcentral.